AUUGAACGCUGGCGGUAGGCCUAACACAUGCAAGUCGAACGGUAACAGGAAGCAGCUUGCUGCUUCGCUGACGAGUGGCGGACGGGUGAGUAAUGUCUGGGAAGCUGCCUGAUGGAGGGGGAUAACUACUGGAAACGGUAGCUAAUACCGCAUAAUGUCGCAAGACCAAAGAGGGGGACCUUCGGGCCUCUUGCCCUCGGAUGUGCCCAGAUGGGAUUAGCUUGUUGGUGGGGUAACGGCUCACCAAGGCGACGAUCCCUAGCUGGUCUGAGAGGAUGACCAGCCACACUGGGACUGAGACACGGUCCAGACUCCUACGGGAGGCAGCAGUGGGGAAUAUUGCACAAUGGGCGCAAGCCUGAUGCAGCCAUGCCGCGUGUAUGAAGAAGGCCUUCGGGUUGUAAAGUACUUUCAGCGGGGAGGAAGGGAGUAAAGUUAAUACCUUUGCUCAUUGACGUUACCCGCAGAAGAAGCACCGGCUAACUCCGUG
Molecule: ribosomal RNA, 490 nt
Filed under: uncultured bacterium
Lineage: Bacteria
Description: partial 16S ribosomal RNA
Rfam family: Bacterial small subunit ribosomal RNA
Source: RNAcentral